This 1409-nucleotide long non-coding RNA is filed under the name Sus scrofa (pig). RNAcentral's name for it is "lncRNA (ENSSSCG00070019893.1)". The record is from RNAcentral. Lineage: Eukaryota; Metazoa; Chordata; Mammalia; Artiodactyla; Suidae.
UCUGACUUCAAACUCAGAGAGCAGAGUCAUGAAAUGGGUCUUUUUGGCCUUAAGCUCUUUUCCCCAGGGAGAAUAUCACAGAUUCAGAUAUUUAUGAGAAAAGAAAAGAUCUAGAUUUUCCACUCUUUUUACACUAUUAGUUAUUAUCAAUAAUUCAUCCUGAAGUUUAAAUUAUUACUAGGCUCAUGCACUAACCCCUAACAUGGCACUACAAUAUGCUACCAAGCACUAAUGCUUACAAAACUAUACACAUCUCAAAAUGGAAGACAUUGGUGAUUUUGUUGUUCUUAAACAACUUGUAACAUUUGUCCACAAGUAUUAAAAUAUACAUAUAUAUAUUUCUAUUGCACAUAUCCCGUUUUUGUUCAACUUUUUAAAAGAAAACAGAGCUGUAGAAUGUGAAGUGCCAUAAAGUGAGAUGGAGCUGCAUAAAGCAUUUUCACUUUUUUUCCUUAGGAGAAAGAAAUAGUAUGAAGACUGUCAUCAUUUUUUCUGCCACUCCUCUAGGUCCAAAGUUGAAGGCAGGUCAUACUGUAGGGUCCAUCACAUCUUCUGAACAGAAAAAAAAAAAAUUUAAAAAUACCAAGUAUCCAAAGACUUCUAAGAAAGAAGUCAGCACAGCUUCCUUCUUUAGGAGAAAAUCCCUCUUAUCAGCCAAAAAUGUGGAUAGAUCAGAAGAGAGCAAGGGAAAUAAUCAGUUAAGGGAUUCCCUUCAAGUUGUAUUUAAUAUUGUAAUGUUUAAAAAAAAUUUUUUUACAGUAUUGGUUAUGUUUAAUUUAGUCACAAUCUGGUACACCUAUGGCCAUAGUCAGUAACACUAAGUUUCCUCCAAAAUCAACUGCAAGAUCACGCCAUUUAUUUCUCACUUUCUCCAAAUCCUAAAAUCACACUCUAAGUGAAGCAAAGCUGAAACGGUGCAAGUCAUCUUGAAGUAGAGGGAUAGGAAGAGAGGAUACUGUGUUAGAAUUUAUAGGACUGACUCCAGUUAUCACUGCUUUCAGUCCUGUGGCAUGACAUUAAACCUUACAGUAAGAGAGACUUGUGCCCUACAGACAUAGCAGACUGAAACAUGAAGAUGUGAAAAGCCAUUUAAUAAUAGCUGCGUACAAUAUGACAUUGAGGCUGUACACACAAGGGGGUGGACAAUUUAAUAACAAGCAAUAGAAAAGAUACCCCAUUUUUUAGGCCUCUUCUACACUUAAGGAGUCAGGGAGUCAAAAACAGAAAUGGAAUCUUACCUGGAGCGAGUGGGAAGUGACCGAGGCUGACAAAGCCUCACCCAGAAGCAUACAGUGCUGGCUCCUAGAUGAACGCUCCCACCUAUAUGUCCAGGCAGCAGCAGAUAUAAAAGCUGAUAUAAUCUCUUGUCAUGUUGCAUUUAUGUUCAAAUAAAUGCAAGUGAUAGCACA